AUUGAACGCUGGCGGCAUGCUUUACACAUGCAAGUCGAGCGGCAGCGCGUCCCCGUAAGGGGAUGGCGGCGAGCGGCGAACGGGUGAGGAAUGCAUCGGAACGUACCCUGGAGUGGGGGAUAACGCCGCGAAAGCGGCGCUAAUACCGCAUAUGCUCUGCGGAGGAAAGCGGGGGCUUCGCAAGAACCUCGCGCUCUGGGCGCGCCGAUGUCCGAUUAGCAGUUGGUGGGGUAAUGGCUCACCAAGGCGACGAUCGGCAGCUGGUCUGAGAGGAUGAUCAGCCACACUGGGACUGAGACACGGCCCAGACUCCUACGGGAGGCAGCAGUGGGGAAUUUUGGACAAUGGGGCAACCCUGAUCCAGCCAUGCCGCGUGCGGGAAGAAGGCC
Molecule: ribosomal RNA, 389 nt
Filed under: uncultured bacterium
Lineage: Bacteria
Description: bacterial SSU rRNA
Rfam family: Bacterial small subunit ribosomal RNA
Source: RNAcentral